Molecule: small RNA, 125 nt
Filed under: Marmota monax (woodchuck)
Lineage: Eukaryota; Metazoa; Chordata; Mammalia; Rodentia; Sciuridae
Source: RNAcentral
GCUGGGGGCGGUGGCACACGCCUAUAAUCCCAGCAGCUCAGGAGGCUGAGACAGGAGGAUCGUCAGUUCAAAGCCAGUCUCAGUAAUGGUGAGGUGCUUAGCAUCUCAGUGAGACCCUGUCUCUA